GACGAACGCUGGCGGCGUGCCUAAUACAUGCAAGUAGAACGCUGAAGAGAGGAGCUUGCUCUUCUUGGAUGAGUUGCGAACGGGUGAGUAACGCGUAGGUAACCUGCCUUGUAGCGGGGGAUAACUAUUGGAAACGAUAGCUAAUACCGCAUAACAAUGGAUGACACAUGUCAUUUAUUUGAAAGGGGCAAUUGCUCCACUACAAGAUGGACCUGCGUUGUAUUAGCUAGUAGGUGAGGUAAUGGCUCACCUAGGCGACGAUACAUAGCCGACCUGAGAGGGUGAUCGGCCACACUGGGACUGAGACACGGCCCAGACUCCUACGGGAGGCAGCAGUAGGGAAUCUUCGGCAAUGGGGGCAACCCUGACCGAGCAACGCCGCGUGAGUGAAGAAGGUUUUCGGAUCGUAAAGCUCGGUUGUAAGUCAAGAACGGGUGUGAGAGUGGAAAGUUCACACUGUGACGGUAGCUUACCGGAAAGGGACGGCUAACUACGUG
This 497-nucleotide ribosomal RNA is filed under the name uncultured bacterium. RNAcentral describes it as "partial 16S ribosomal RNA". It matches the Rfam family "Bacterial small subunit ribosomal RNA", at positions 28 to 507 of the family's 1533-position model. The record is from RNAcentral.